GAUCCUGGCUCAGAUUGAACGCUGGCGGCAGGCCUAACACAUGCAAGUCGAACGGUAACAGGAAGCAGCUUGCUGCUUUGCUGACGAGUGGCGGACGGGUGAGUAAUGUCUGGGAAACUGCCUGAUGGAGGGGGAUAACUACUGGAAACGGUAGCUAAUACCGCAUAACGUCGCAAGACCAAAGAGGGGGGACCUUCGGGGCCUCUUGCCAUCGGAUGUGCCCAGAUGGGAUUAGCUAGUAGGG
This 244-nucleotide ribosomal RNA is filed under the name uncultured bacterium. RNAcentral's name for it is "partial 16S ribosomal RNA". It matches the Rfam family "Bacterial small subunit ribosomal RNA", at positions 15 to 253 of the family's 1533-position model. The record is from RNAcentral.